CCUACGGGGUGCAGCAGUGAGGAAUAUUGGUCAAUGGGCGUAAGCCUGAACCAGCCAAGUCGCGUGAGGGAUGAAGGUUCUAUGGAUCGUAAACCUCUUUUAUAAGGGAAUAAAGUGUGGGACGUGUCCUGUUUUGUAUGUACCUUAUGAAUAAGGAUCGGCUAACUCCGUGCCAGCAGCCGCGGUAAUACGGAGGAUCCGAGCGUUAUCCGGAUUUAUUGGGUUUAAAGGGUGCGUAGGCGGCCUUUUAAGUCAGCGGUGAAAGUCUGUGGCUCAACCAUAGAAUUGCCGUUGAAACUGGGAGGCUUGAGUAUGGUUGAGGCAGGCGGAAUGCGUGGUGUAGCGGUGAAAUGCUUAGAUAUCACGCAGAACCCCGAUUGCGAAGGCAGCCUGCCAAGCCAUGACUGACGCUGAUGCACGAAAGCGUGGGGAUCAAACAGGAUUAGAUACCCCAGUAGUC
Molecule: ribosomal RNA, 460 nt
Filed under: uncultured bacterium
Lineage: Bacteria
Description: partial 16S ribosomal RNA
Rfam family: Bacterial small subunit ribosomal RNA
Source: RNAcentral